This 301-nucleotide ribosomal RNA is filed under the name uncultured bacterium. RNAcentral describes it as "partial 16S ribosomal RNA". It matches the Rfam family "Bacterial small subunit ribosomal RNA", at positions 509 to 807 of the family's 1533-position model. The record is from RNAcentral.
CAGUCGCCGCGAUAAUACGAAGGGUGCAAGCGUUACUCGGAAUUACUGGGCGUAAAGCGUGCGUAGGUGGUGGUUUAAGUCUGAUGUGAAAGCCCCCGGCCCAACCGGGGAGGGUCAUUGGAAACUGGGAAACUUGAGUGCAGGAGGGGAGAGUGGAAUUCCACGUGUAGCGGUGAAAUGCGUAGAGAUGUGGAGGAACACCAGUGGCGAAGGCGACUCUCUGGUCUGUAACUGACGCUGAGGAGCGAAAGCGUGGGGAGCGAACAGGAUUAGAUACCCCGGUAGUCCCUGUCUCUUAUAC